GUGCCAGCCGCCGCGGUAAUACGUAGGGUGCGAGCGUUAAUCGGAAUUACUGGGCGUAAAGCGUGCGUAGGCGGUUGUUCAAGCUUGAUGUGAAAGCCCCGGGCUUAACCUGGGAAUGGCAUUGAGGACUGGACAGCUGGAGUGCGGCAGAGGGAGGUGGAAUUCCACGUGUAGCAGUGAAAUGCGUAGAGAUGUGGAGGAACACCGAUGGCGAAGGCAACCUCCUGGGCCGACACUGACGCUGAGGGCACGAAAGCGUGGGGAGCAAACAGGAUUAGAAACCCCCGUAGUCC
RNAcentral lists this ribosomal RNA (293 nucleotides) under uncultured bacterium. Its description in RNAcentral is "partial 16S ribosomal RNA". It matches the Rfam family "Bacterial small subunit ribosomal RNA", at positions 505 to 796 of the family's 1533-position model. The record is from RNAcentral.